GCUAGUGUCGCGUUUGUUGUUGUUACAGCGUGAAACGAGGCUCCUGUGCUUCCUGUGAUUUCAUAUACUAAAUUGAACUUCGUAACUUAUAUGAAUACUGUCAGUCAUUCCAACAUGUUGACUUAGCACUCAGUCACUUUCCAUCGGAUUAGACCCUCAUGAUUU
This is a long non-coding RNA of Daphnia pulex (common water flea), 165 nucleotides long. RefSeq lists it as uncharacterized. The transcript is spliced from 2 exons. NCBI's taxonomy places the organism in Eukaryota, Metazoa, Arthropoda, Branchiopoda, Diplostraca, Daphniidae. The record is from RefSeq and is a predicted model, not a curated record.